ACGGCUCAGUAACACGUGGAUAACCUGCCCUACACUGGGGGAUAAUCUCGGGAAACUGAGCAUAAUACCCCAUAGACCACUACGCCUGGAACGGUGAGUGGUUCAAAGCUUCGGCGGUGUAGGAUGGGUCUGCGGCGUAUCAGGUCGUAGGGGGUGUAAUGGACCUCCUAGCCAUCGACGCGUACGGGUUGUGGGAGCAAUAGCCCGGAGACGGAUUCUGAGACACGAAUCCGGACCCUACGGGGUGCAGCAGGCGCGAAAACUUCACACUGCAGGAAACUGUGAUGAGGGAACUCCAAGUGACUGCACAAUGUGUAGCCUUUUCAUGAAUCUUAAUAGUUCUUGGAAUAAGGGCUGGGAAAGACCGGUGCCAGCCGCCGCGGUAAUACCGGCAGCUCAAGUGGUCGUCGCUUUUAUUGGGCCUAAAACGUCCGUAGCCUGUUUGGUAAAUCUGUGGGUAAAUCAACGAGCUUAACUCGUUGAAUUCUGCAGAGACUGCCAGACUAGGGACCGGGAGAGGUAUGAGGUACUCUGGGGGUAGGGGUAAAAUCCUGUCAUCCCCAGAGGACCACCUGUUGCGAAGGCGUCAUACUGGAACGGAUCCGACGGUCAGGGACGAAGCCUAGGGGCACGAACCGGAUUAGAUACCCGGGUAGUCCUAGGUGUAAACGCUGUGAACUUGGUGUCGGGAGUCCGCAAUGGGCCCCCGGUGCCGGAGUGAAGAUGUUAAGUUCACUGCCUGGGGAGUACGGUCGCAAGGCUGAAACUUAAAGGAAUUGGCGGGGGAGCA
RNAcentral lists this ribosomal RNA (790 nucleotides) under uncultured euryarchaeote. Its description in RNAcentral is "bacterial SSU rRNA". It matches the Rfam family "Archaeal small subunit ribosomal RNA", at positions 85 to 878 of the family's 1478-position model. The record is from RNAcentral. Lineage: Archaea; Methanobacteriati; Methanobacteriota.